UCGACUUUUUAUGAUCUUAAAUUAAAUUUAUGUCAAAUAUAUCAAAAUAUUAUUUAAUUUUAUGAUUUUAAGCAUGUCAAGUGAAAAAUUGAAAUUAAAGUGUUGUCAAAAAACAAGAGGAAUUAUUUUUUUAAACAUAUUAAAAAAAGUAGGUCAUUCUUUUUAGGAAACUUAAAAAAAAAAAGAAAUGUACAAUAGAUCUUAUUACCCUUGGCCUGACACUGGGAACUUCAAAGAUUUAUAUAGACGUUCCACCACCUUAACUUGAAAAUAUUCCUCCACGUCAUUCUUGAUGAUAAGGGUUAUUUAGUAAAUUAAGUCUCCACAGCCAUCUCCAUUAACCUUGAGAAUCUCAGUGACCUCAUAUUUAGUGCCCUAACAUGAAACACAGGAAACGUUUGAACUUUUGGCUCUCUAUGGUGUCUACAUAAAUAUAUACACAUACAUACAAUAGACUUUAUAUCAAAAGGUUGGAAGUUUAAGUGUGUAUUGAGUAAGGAAUAGGGUGUGAUUAUAUAGUGAGAGGGGUAAAAUCUCUAUAAAUCAAAAGGUUGGAAGUUUGCGUAUAGUGAGUAGGGCAUAGGGUGUGUUCCCAUAGUGGGAUAAAAUGAUGAGAUGCAUUGGUUAAAUUAAUUAUUGAAACAAGGCAUCUUUCAUGAGUAAUUAAACCGAUCCAUCUCAUCAUUUUUCUCCCUCUAUAUAAACACAACUAAUGCCUCACUCAACAUUCAGUUGGACUUCUAACCUUUUGAUUUAGAGGUUAUUGUGCUAGUGUAGCUCCAGUGAAGGAGACACUGCCUCACCAGUCUCCUUUGUCUUAUCAUGGAAAGCACCAUGAAAU
RNAcentral lists this long non-coding RNA (841 nucleotides) under Capsicum annuum. RNAcentral describes it as "long non-coding RNA (CANN_LNC007669)". The record is from RNAcentral. Lineage: Eukaryota; Viridiplantae; Streptophyta; Magnoliopsida; Solanales; Solanaceae.